AUGGAAAUUAACCAAGGUCCUACCGUUUCAACUCUGAAACUAAAAAACCCAGUCUCAUUUGCAGGAAGACAGGUUAUCGCACAAGCUGGAAAUGCUGCUUCCAAAGCAAGGGUAAUUAUUAUUCCGCCUAAACCUGUCAUGGGUCCUCACCCAGCCCAAAAAGUAUUGCUAAUAACGCCACAGGGAAAAGAACCAUGUAAAGCAACCAAGAAAACAGUUACGCAACCAGAAAGAGGAAAUGGGCGAAAUACUACUGCGCCCAAGGUUGGUUCCUGGACGGCUCCGCAGACACUAGAGCUCAUAGGAGCUAUUAAAGAGAACCCGUGUCUUUACCAAGUAAAACAUCCGGAUUACCUGGAUCGGAGGAAGAAAGAUGACGCCUACAAUCGCAUCAGAGAAUUCAUCUCAGGGUUUAGAGAAAACACCACAGUUAAGGAAAUUACAGCCAAAUGGAAUUCCCUUCGGACGCAAUUCAUAGCGGAGCACAAAAAAGUCUUGGAUUCCAUGAGAACCGGCACAGGCAAAGAUGAAGUCUAUUCACCUAAUAUGACACACUACUGCGACUUAUUAUUCUUGACAGAUCAUGUAGCGAUCCGCCAGCCACAGUCAAAUGAGGCAUUUGGAAUCGAAAAUGAGGACAACAUUGAUGAGGACCUUUACCACGAUGACUUGCCUUCAACGAGUUUAGCUGGCCCUCCAGUGAAAAAAAGGAAAUCUAAAGCCAAUAAUAAUACAACUGUUGAUGGGGUAUUUAUCGACUUCUUGAAUGAAGCUAAAACUGUGUUCAAGCCGGCACAGCCACCCACUGCUGUAGCUCCUACUACUGCUGCAGCUUCUCUAUCUGCUACUCCACUCACCGAACCUCAGGACGAAUUUGCUCAGCUGGGAAAUUUGGUGGCUACUAAACUAAGAGCUAUGCCAGUUGAGCAGAGCAAAAAAAUUUCAAGUCAAAUUGUUGGAAUUCUUUACGCCUAA
This 975-nucleotide long non-coding RNA is filed under the name Bemisia tabaci. RNAcentral describes it as "lncRNA ENSSSA1UGG006642". Lineage: Eukaryota; Metazoa; Arthropoda; Insecta; Hemiptera; Aleyrodidae. The record is from RNAcentral.